AACGAACGCUGGCGGCAGGCCUAACACAUGCAAGUCGAACGCUCGUAGCAAUACGAGAGUGGCAGACGGGUGAGUAACACGUGGGAACCUUCCCUAUGGUUCGGAAUAGCUCAGGGAAACUUGAGGUAAUACCGGAUAAGCCCUUACGGGGAAAGAUUUAUCGCCAUUGGAUGGGCCCGCGUCGGAUUAGCUAGUUGGCGAGGUAACGGCUCACCAAGGCGGCGAUCCGUAGCUGGCUGAGAGGAUGAUCAGCCACACUGGGACUGAGACACGGCCCAGACUCCUACGGGAGGCAGCAGUGGGGAAUAUUGGACAAUGGGCGCAAGCCUGAUCCAGCCAUGCCGCGUGAGUGACGAAGGCCUUAGGUUGUAAAGCUCUUUUGGCGGGGAAGAUAAUGACGGUACCCGCAGAAUAAGCUCCGGCUAACUUCGUGCCAGCAGCCGCAGU
Molecule: ribosomal RNA, 447 nt
Filed under: uncultured bacterium
Lineage: Bacteria
Description: bacterial SSU rRNA
Rfam family: Bacterial small subunit ribosomal RNA
Source: RNAcentral